Molecule: long non-coding RNA, 3236 nt
Organism: Gallus gallus (chicken)
Lineage: Eukaryota; Metazoa; Chordata; Aves; Galliformes; Phasianidae
Exons: 3
Source: RefSeq, a predicted model, not a curated record
GCCGCGUGGUGCUCCGGAGCCGCCACAGGACGCGGGGGGACGCGCACCGUUCUGCUAGAAAACCGAGCAGUGAGCAGUCACAUCUCUGAAGUCCAGAUGUGUGGAAAAAAAAUAGAGUCAUCUGGAGAAGAAUUUAGCAGAUAAGAAACUACAACUCUGGGACAUUGGACAACCAUGGAAGUUGCUGUCUGGUGGAUAAAAGUCUUACUCAGUUUGUGAUACUGAUUUUUGUGGCCAUCUGGCACGUGGUAUUGUCCAGACCACCCAAGCCACAGCACAGACUAAACAAAGUUACUCUGAAAAUAAGAGUGUUGAAGGUACUCCACACAGCUGAUAGUUGGAGGAAAAUGGAUGAAAAGGCACCUUAUGAUCUGGGAAAGCUGGAAUGUAUACUGCAAAGAUACAUGAAGAGGUACCAUAUAUUUUCAGGAUGAAAACAUACUGUUGAUUUUGCUGAGGGUCUCCUUGAACUUUGUAUACCACAACUCUAUUUUUAUUAUUUCACUGUUAAAGACAGAUGAAGAAAUGGCCAAAACUAUGAAACCUUUUAAAAUGUACUUUGGGCUGGAAAACCUGAAGAGCUUGAAAAAGGAAUGAAUUGGCACAACACAAGAAAAGACAGAGCAGGAGUGAAAAAAUAAAAGGGUAAACAACAAUUUGAAAUCAUACCAACUGACUUCACGAAGUCUGUAAGAAACUGCAUUUCAGUUGGAUUGAGACAUGUAAGUGAACUGUUUUUGUUUCACUGAAACACUUUGUGAUGCUAAAUCACUUUGACAUUUUUUUUCAAUCCACCUCUACUUCAAAUACAUAAAUAUUUGAGAGAACACUCUGCCCAGCCUUAAAUGCUGAGCCAUGUGUUUCUCUAGUCCCUUAGCAAUAGUAAAAACAAAAAUGUAAAAGAGAAAUGAUCCUUUUGCUGGGUGGGACUGCACUGUGCUACAGAGGAAAAAAGAAAUCCCUCCAGCAGCCCCAUGUCAUUAAAAAUUAAAUAUAAAAAAAGUUUAUUUUGUGAUAUGUGUUUUUACCCUAAAGCAGCUAGAAUACAUCAAAGAAAAGAAAAUCCUCUUGAUCCCUCAAGUGUCUGAAAAAAAACAUAACAUUUUAACAAGAAGCUCAAAACUAGAGAACAUUUAAAUAGUUUCUUGUAACUUUUAAUGGCCCUUAGAGUAUUACCAUCCAAAAAAUUCCAUCAUGAUUUCCAUAGACUUGUUCUUGAACAUUAUUAGAUAUUUAAUUGCUCUAUCAUUUUGACUUUGUCACACCUUAGCAACAUUAAUUGUAUUUGUUGUAUAAGGUAUUCAGUAGUAGUAAAUAUAUUUUGGAUUGUCAAAGCAUAUAUGCUAUAGAAUAUCAAUAAUUUGUUGGUUAUUUUUCUUCAGCUUUCAUUGAUUUCUUUUUCUCUGGCAAAGGUUCUGUUUUCCUCUUAAGGGAAGAUCCUGCAUGAUUCAAAUGAGUACUUCCAGGGGAGUUUUUUAUUUAACUCAAUGAAACAUAAAUUGCUGUAUACUUCUGGAACAAAUAAAACUAUAAUAGGCUUUACAAGUCAUGCCCUACAAGAGCUAUAAGACAGUACAUUGUAUGCAGUAGGGCAGCUACUUUGUUUGAAUUCUGAGAAGCAGAACUAGUAAUGAUGUUGUCCAAACCAACCAUCUCCAAGCCUUUGAUUGUGCAUGACUAUCAGUAAAAAUUUCAGCAACCAACCCCAAAAUACACAUAUUAUUUAUAAAAUGCACUAAUACUAACUACUAUACUAAUAUGUUAGACACAUUAAAAAAUAUACAACAUAUAAAUUGAAAAGGAUAAGACAGAAAUGAAAUAAACUUUAUUUCAAAAAUGUGAUUUUAUUUAUAAAUGAUAAAAGAAAUAUUUUCUUCCUGCAUCCCAGUGGACUAACUUGCACCCCACUUUGGACGCCACUGCUCUCAACAGUGUGUCAGGAGGGUGAGUAACAGCAGUCUGUUUUCAGCUGCCUCAUCUCAUGUGCUAUGCCAGAGCUUACAUUGAUCCUGGUACCUCUGAAUAAGCUGUGCUUCUUGAGUUCUUCACACACACUAGUCCCAACCUCAGAGCUCAAUUGAUCCUAUCUUCAAAUUCUCCAGAGAACAUUUGCUCUGAAGUCAUUCAGGCAUUUUAAAAAACUACAUCCAGGUCAAGAACUUCUGUAAUCAGUCACAUACGGAGUCAUAUCAAGACAACUUUGGCAUAUCAAAAGGAGAGAGCCAGAAAUGCUCUUCUGCCUAAAUUUCAAUUAUUUAAGCAGUCAAGACAGCUGAAAAAUCUUUCUCUGGCCAGAAAUGAUGCUAUUCCUGAUCAGAAAUUUUCUGAUUUACUAAGCUUUCGAUUGUGAGAUUAAAGGUCAAGAGAAUUAAGCGUCAAGCCAGCACAAAAUGAGAGAUUUGAAAAAGGUUUUGUAAAGAAUGCUGCAAAUAAUUUCCCGUUUUAAAGGAGCGUCCAUCUGUAAAUGGCAUGGUGAGACAGCAUGGUUUGUAUGGUACAGUUUUUAUAGGACAAAAACAGAUUCUAAAAACACAAAUGGAAAUUUGAAGGAAGCCUAUGCAGCGCACACAAUUAGGGAGCCUACAGGAAAAUGGAACUGCCUUGAAAUAGAUAUCAUCGCUCAGCUUAUGCCUAGUUACAUGACUUCUGAAACCUACUACUGUAAUAAGAAAAGUUCUUAUAUUUGAACACUAAAAAAUAACUGUGCAAGAACAGAGAAGCACAAAAACUUGACUGUUGAUUCACUCUAAAUGAACCUGUCCUUAGUUUUUUUUUUUUCAUAAAGAGGUUUUUUCAAAGAUAAUCAAAUGUACCCUUCUCUGUAUUUAUAAGAAAAAUUACUCAUUUUUCAACAACAUUUUUCUAGCCAGCAAAAACCCAUUUUCCCUUCCCAGCCAGAGCCUUGUUCCAGUCCAGUCAAAAAGUCCCAGGGCAAAUAAAGGAAUACUUUUACUUAACUUAGGCUUACUGGUAUUUCUGUUAUUCCUGCCAAUGAGUUUCUUUUUAUUUUCCUUUGGAAAGUUGAGGUAGAAUGCAAGCAUAAGGGACUUAUUUACCAAGAAAGUUUUUUUGCAUUAUGAAUAGAGUGAUGAAUAGUGAUGUGUAAUUAAAGAUAACUCAGAUACAAUUUAACAGUAAAAUAUUUACAAUGCAGAAGAUGUAUUGAGACCUCUCCAAUAACCUUGGCAUUACUUUACACACAUGCUCACAUAUGAAGGUGGUCUCACUCACCUUUG